This 468-nucleotide ribosomal RNA is filed under the name uncultured bacterium. RNAcentral describes it as "partial 16S ribosomal RNA". It matches the Rfam family "Bacterial small subunit ribosomal RNA", at positions 28 to 507 of the family's 1533-position model. The record is from RNAcentral.
GACGAACGCUGGCGGCGUGCUUAACACAUGCAAGUCGAACGGAAAGGCCCUGCUUUUGUGGGGUGCUCGAGUGGCGAACGGGUGUGUAACACGUGAGUAACCUGCCCUUGACUUUGGGAUAACUUCAGGAAACUCGGGCUAAUACCGGAUAGGAGCUCCUGCUGCACGGUGGGGGUUGGAAAGUUUCGGCGGUUGGGGAUAGACUCGCGGCUUAUCAGCUUGUUGGUGGGGUAGUGGCUUACCAAGGCUUUGACGGGUAGCCAGCCUGAGAGGGUGACCGGCCACAUUGGGACUGAGAUACGGCCCAGACUCCUACGGGAGGCAGCAGUGGGGAAUAUUGCACAAUGGGCGGAAGCCUGAUGCAGCAACGCCGCGUGCGGGAUGACGGCCUUCGGGUUGUAAACCGCUUUCGCCUGUGACGAAGCGUGAGUGACGGUAAUGGGUAAAGAAGCACCGGCUAACUACGUG